This 468-nucleotide ribosomal RNA is filed under the name uncultured bacterium. RNAcentral's name for it is "partial 16S ribosomal RNA". It matches the Rfam family "Bacterial small subunit ribosomal RNA", at positions 28 to 507 of the family's 1533-position model. The record is from RNAcentral.
GACGAACGCUGGCGGCGUGCUUAACACAUGCAAGUCGAACGGAAAGGCCCUGCUUUUGUGGGGUGCUCGAAUGGCGAACGGGUGAGUAACACGUGAGUAACCUGCCCUUGACUUUGGGAUAACUUCAGGAAACUGGGGCUAAUACCGGAUAGGAGCUCCUGCUGCAUGGUGGGGGUUGGAAAAUUUCGGCGGUUGGGGAUGGACUCGCGGCUUAUCAGCUUGUUGGUGGGGUAGUGGCUUACCAAGGCUUUGACGGGUAGCCGGCCUGAGAGGGUGACCGGCCACAUUGGGACUGAGAUACGGCCCAGACUCCUACGGGAGGCAGCAGUGGGGAAUAUUGCACAAUGGGCGGAAGCCUGAUGCAGCAACGCCGCGUGCGGGAUGACGGCCUUCGUGUUGUAAACCGCUUUCGCCUGUGACGAAGCGUGAGUGACGGUAAUGGGUAAAGAAGCACCGGCUAACUACGUG